RNAcentral lists this ribosomal RNA (468 nucleotides) under uncultured bacterium. RNAcentral's name for it is "partial 16S ribosomal RNA". It matches the Rfam family "Bacterial small subunit ribosomal RNA", at positions 28 to 507 of the family's 1533-position model. The record is from RNAcentral.
GACGAACGCUGGCGGCGUGCUUAACACAUGCAAGUCGAACGGAAAGGCCCUGCUUUUGUGGGGUGCUCGAGUGGCGAACGGGUGAGUAACACGUGAGUAACCUGCCCUUGACUUUGGGAUAACUUCAGGAAACUGGGGCUAAUACCGGAUAGGAGCUCCUGCUGCAUGGUGGGGGUUGGAAAGUUUCGGCGGUUGGGGAUGGACUCGCGGCUUAUCAGCUUGUUGGUGGGGUAGUGGCUUACCAAGGCUUUGACGGGUAGCCGGCCUGAGAGGGUGACCGGCCACAUUGGGACUGAGAUACGGCCCAGACUCCUACGGGAGGCAGAAGUGGGGAAUAUUGCACAAUGGGCGGAAGCCUGAUGCAGCAACGACGCGUGCGGGAUGACGGCCUUCGGGUUGUAAACCGCUUUCGCCUGUGACGAAGCGUGAGUGACGGUAAUGGGUAAAGAAGAACCGGCUAACUACGUG